GACGAACGCUGGCGGCGUGCUUAACACAUGCAAGUCGAACGGUGAAGCGCCUUCCUUUUUGGUGGGUGUGGAUGAGUGGCGAACGGGUGAGUAACACGUGAGUAACCUGCCCCCUUCUUCUGGAUAACCGCAUGAAAGUGUGGCUAAUACGGGAUAUUCUGUGUCUGUCGCAUGAUGGGUCUGGGAAAGAUAUUGUUUCGGUGGGGGAUGGGCUCGCGGCCUAUCAGCUUGUUGGUGGGGUGAUGGCCUACCAAGGCGGUGACGGGUAGCCGGCCUGAGAGGGUGGACGGUCACACUGGGACUGAGACACGGCCCAGACUCCUACGGGAGGCAGCGGUGGGGAAUAUUGCACAAUGGGCGCAAGCCUGAUGCAGCGACGCCGCGUGAGGGAUGGAGGCCUUCGGGUUGUGAACCUCUUUCGCCAGUGAAGCAGGCCUGCCUCGUUUGUGGGUGGGUUGACGGUAGCUGGAUAAGAAGCGCCGGCUAACUACGUG
This 494-nucleotide ribosomal RNA is filed under the name uncultured bacterium. RNAcentral describes it as "partial 16S ribosomal RNA". It matches the Rfam family "Bacterial small subunit ribosomal RNA", at positions 28 to 507 of the family's 1533-position model. The record is from RNAcentral.